Molecule: ribosomal RNA, 253 nt
Filed under: uncultured bacterium
Lineage: Bacteria
Description: partial 16S ribosomal RNA
Rfam family: Bacterial small subunit ribosomal RNA
Source: RNAcentral
UACGGAGGGGGCUAGCGUUGUUCGGAAUUACUGGGCGUAAGGCGCGCGUAGGCGGCUUUGCAAGUUAGAGGUGAAAGCCCGGAGCUUAACUCCGGAACUGCCUUUAAAACUGCAUCGCUAGAAUCGUGGAGAGGUGAGUGGAAUUCCGAGUGUAGAGGUGAAAUUCGUAGAUAUUCGGAGGAACACCAGUGGCGAAGGCGACCGCCUGGACGACAACUGACGCUGAGGCGCGAGAGCGUGGGGAGCAAACAGG